RNAcentral lists this ribosomal RNA (301 nucleotides) under uncultured bacterium. RNAcentral describes it as "partial 16S ribosomal RNA". It matches the Rfam family "Bacterial small subunit ribosomal RNA", at positions 509 to 809 of the family's 1533-position model. The record is from RNAcentral.
CAGCAGCCGCGGUAAUACGUAGGUGGCAAGCGUUGUCCGGAAUUAUUGGACGUAAAGCGCGCGCAGGUGGUUUAAUAAGUCUGAUGUGAAAGCCCACGGCUCAACCGUGGAGGGUCAUUGGAAACUGUUAAACUUGAGUGCAGGAGAGAAAAGUGGAAUUCCUAGUGUAGCGGUGAAAUGCGUAGAGAUUAGGAGGAACACCAGUGGCGAAGGCGGCUUUUUGGCCUGUAACUGACACUGAGGCGCGAAAGCGUGGGGAGCAAACAGGAUUAGAUACCCCAGUAUCCCUGUCUCUUAUACA